UUCACUUCGGUGACAUCUGAUAAAAUUGAAACGAUACAGAGAAGAUUAGCAUGGCCCAUGCACAUAAUUAAUAUUGUAAUACAUGAUACAUGUAUUC
This 97-nucleotide small nuclear RNA is filed under the name Oryza longistaminata (longstamen rice). Lineage: Eukaryota; Viridiplantae; Streptophyta; Magnoliopsida; Poales; Poaceae. The record is from RNAcentral.